This is a long non-coding RNA of Felis catus (domestic cat), 6190 nucleotides long. RefSeq lists it as uncharacterized. The record is from RefSeq and is a predicted model, not a curated record. The transcript is spliced from 5 exons. Lineage: Eukaryota; Metazoa; Chordata; Mammalia; Carnivora; Felidae.
CCAGCCUGCUUCUCUCUAACAAGAGCGUCUCCUUCUGUGGACCCCGUGCAGAAGCCCCAGGGCCUUCUCAGCACACCCCAGGCCCCAGCGGAUUCUGGGGACCUCUCAGUCAUCACCCCAAAGUGGAAACCUGGCCCUGGCACCCCAUACCGUGAGAAUUCUUGGAAAUCGGGUGAGCCACGUGGAGUCGGGGCCCAUCAAUGUAGGCCCGCACGGCCAGGGCGCACCUCUCCUGGGCCUCUGGGAUGUGGGGCGGGGGCGGCGGCCCCGUGAGCAAAAGAUGGCUUGGCAGAGGGCCGUCCCCGUCCCAGAUGGAAUCUGGAUCUGUUCUGACAUCCGUGUGUAGUAACAAGUAUAAAAUGUUCAUAGUUUUGAGCCAGCGAUUCUCCUGGGAGUUUAUCCUGAAGGAAUAACGUGAAACGCAGAAAACCUGCCUCCCAGGCCCCUCCGGCCGCAUUAUUUAUAACUGGGAGAAGCUGGGAACGACCCAAGCGCACGGGGAGGCCGGCGAGGAAAGCCGCCGCGCGUCUGGUGAGCUGAACAACGCGCAGCUGUUCGAAGUCACGUCUGUGGAAAGUUCCAGCCAUGUCAGAAAUGCUUCUUCUGUGAUGGGCGGUGGACGGGGCAGAACACGGCGGGGCCGCAGCUGAGGGUUUCGGCUGGCAGCCGGGCAGAGCGGCCAAAGCCACGGACGCACCGUGCGCGCUCGUGGGAGCUGAACGGGGGGGAAAACGGUGGUUCUGCUCCGGUCUGUGGUCCGUGGCGGGGACCGUCUUACCAAAUCAUGUGAUUUAUGGGCUCAACCUCACCCCAGACUCAGAGGCCGUCCACCCAGGCCUCCGGGGCUUGGGGCUCCAGGCUCUGUCCCUGGGUCAGCAGCUGUAGCAGGGGCUCAGGGAGGGAGUCCGGCGGGAAGAGGCCUCUUCUCACAGCCAGGGCCACGCUGCCAGGGCCGAGGCGCCCACCUGCUGUACCGCGAGUGGUUUCUGAGUUUCUUCUCGGUAAGACCGGCUGUGGGGUCUGCGCUGUGGCCCCUGCCACCCGUGUCCCCCUCGCCCACUGCCGGAGCCUCUGGGGGCCUAAACGAAGAUGGGGGCAGGGUGUGGCGUCCCUGCCCCGAGAAAGGUCCUGGGGCUCAAGCACGGUGACCAGCCAGGAGGAACCGCUUCUCCACCCCGGGGAACCAGGGAGGGCUUCUUCAAGAACAGCUGGGCUGAGCGGGAGGGAGCGGGCAGGGACUGAGCCCGGAGCGUCUACCCCUGGGAGAAACUCGAAUCCCAGGCCCCCACUGUCAGUGGCCUUGGGUACUACCUUCGGGCUCGCGGAGGGGAGGGAGCUCCAGCCUGGGUGGUCAGGCGCCCGACAAAACCACGUGCUGACCUUGGGGUAAGACACAGGCCUCCUCGUGGGGCGGCUCCGAGGCCCAGAGCCUCCGAGGAGCACAGGGUCUGGGGGUGGGGGGUGGGGCGGUGCGGGGACCCGGCCUGUGGGAGCAGCCCCUCUGGCAGCCUCAGCAGGCUCUGGUGUCCCCACAGGGAGCCGCUCCCCCCCUCCUGACCGCGUUCCCAGAGCGGCCGUGGCUGGGCCUUGCCUUCCCCAGGGACCGGUCUCGGGUGGGGACUCUCCAGCCCCGCAGAGAGACCUGGGCCUCCCCUGGCCCGGAGGAGCCUGGCACCCGAGGGCCGCUUCUCUGUUCGCCUCCCGAGGGGACGUGCCAGCUUCUCCCUUGCACGGCCCAGGUCCUGGACGUUCUGCCCAAACCCCUCGGCGGCCUCAGUUCUCUCCGGAAGCCGGGCCUCCCAGUCUCCCUGCCUCCUGGCCAGUGCUGGGCCUCAUGAGGCUCCCGCAGGUACUCUCUGUUCUUUGUGCCGGAGACCGUUCCGGGGUGACCAAGGAGAAAGGGCACCGUGGCCUUGUCAGCGUCCUCACGGGACGCCCGGGAUCAUCAGGCCGGGGGGCGCGGGCGUCUUCUCCCCCCCGCUGGUCCGCGCUGGGCCGGGCUCCCUCGGCCCCUCCACAGCGAUGCCUCACUUCAAUGGGGAAGCCUGCUCUGACCUCCCUGGGCCUCAGCGUUCUCGCCUGGGAAUGGGGCCAGUGCUGCCCCCCUCACAGGGCCGUGUGUGGGUGGAGCCUGACCGGUGCCCCGGCUGACCCCGCGGGGAUGGGCUGAGCUCUGCCCGAGGCACGAACGGACGCAUCGAGAAGGAACGAAUGAAGGCCGCAGAGGCGCCAAGAACCGUGAGCGCGGUGCGCUCCGUGGAAAAGCCCGGACGCGAGGGGCGCGUGCAGCUGGACCCCAUGGGUAUGAGAUGUCCCGGGAGGUAAGUCCGCGUGGCCGGCGAGGACGUGGGUGGCGGCCAGGGGCUGGGGGACAGGGAGCCCUGUUCACGGGUGCAGGCCGAGGGGGGCGUUCCGGAACCAGGUCGUGGGGGCGGCUGCACCACGGAGAGAACGUACCAGGCGCCACAGAAUUGUUCACUUGGCCACUUUUGGGGCACCUGCCUGGCCCAGUCGGAAACGCAUGCGACUCCAGAUCUCAGGGUCGUGAGUUCGAGCCCCGUGUUGGGUGUAGACAUUACUUAAAAAUAAAAUCUUAAACAUAAACAUGUAAAUACAUAAAUCAAGGGGCCACUUCUCCGUUAUGUGAGUUUCACCUCAGCUUAAGAAACGAGGAGGGAACGGGGGGGGGGCUCCCCUCCCCUGGAGGGGAGCGAGCUCAGCUCUGGGAGGGGGCGGCCUGGUCCGAACCCAGGUCUCUCACCGCAAAGCGGACGCCCUGACUCAGUUCCCUUUUCUGAAAACACAGGCCCUGGGUGUGGGGAAAGGUGAGGCCCAGCUCAAAAGGCCAAGGGUCUCUGUUCCCCAAGGGCAUCCCUGGAGUCCGGCAAAGUCUGGACCAGGCCUGGGGGGACAGGUGGGGGAGCAGGCCUUAGUUGGGGCCACGCCGGUGGCUGUGUCCAGAUGGGCAGCCCUCCCACCCACAUCCAGGGCGGCUGACGCUUGAAUCUGGGCCCGACCCCACCCCUCCCGCCCCUCUGACCCCUCACCCCGGGCCGGGCCUCCCUUCGCCCUGUUCUGACCCAGUGCCCAGCAGCAGCCCAGGAGCUGGGCCGGGUCCCAGCACAGGCACUUGGGCCUCGCCCGAAACUGGGGACAGGCUCCCGGUAAGCACUGCCUAAGGUGAGGCCCACCUCAGCACCGGAGGGCGCCUGUGGUUCAGACGCCUCUGCCUCCGUCUGUCCUGAGCCCUGGGGGUCCUGGACGCCUGCUGGAGGCUGUCCGCCCCGGGGCGGCUGGACACCCACCCAGUCGUUGCCCCCAGACGCAGCGGCUGCUGCCGCAUCCCAGAUACUGUCCCCAGGCGCCCCUCAAGCUCAGUGCCGCCCUUCGGUGGGGGGGCAUCGCUUCACGGACGGGAGACGGACCCCUGAGAGGCAGGGGAACCCUAGAGCACGGGGGGCCCUGGCCUCCACCUGCUCAGCGCCCAGGCCGCAUGUGCGUGAGUGUCGGGGGUGGGGCACCCUGCUGGCUUCUGGGCUUCGAGGGGCUGCCCUGCUGGGGUGGGCCUGGCCUGGGUGAGGGAAGGAGGGGAGAGAGGGCUUCCUGCCCAGCGAUGCUCGGCUUCCUGUGGGUUAGCGGGCGCACGGGCUCCACUGGUCAGGGUCACGUCGGGGCUGUGGUCAGGGAGAGGCUGUUGCUGAAGACGUCACUGGGGCCAGGCCCCCCAGCCCCAGCCACAGCCCAGGCUGCGUGCCCCGGAUGACCCCAGACUGCCAGACUGUUGCUUCGACGACUACUGGACAGGCCUGGUGGCCAGGGCCCCCGUGAUCUCUUCCUGCCCCACGUGUCCUCCUGCCCUCUGCCCUCUGCUUCCCCUGCCAGGACUGAGCCCCCCCUCACUCCUCCCCUGGGGCUCCUGAGGCCCCUGCCCCUCUCUCUCUCCCUCACUCCGUGUGCUCUCUGUGCCUCGAUGUCCCCCUCCUCCCCGUGAUCGCGCGGCCUUCCCGGCACCACCGGGGGCCCCGGCCCACUCGCCUGUGGCCAUGUUCCCACUCCCGGCGCCACCUCCGCCGGGGAGCCUGUCCCGACGCCGAUGGGAACCGUCUCGGACAACUCGAUGGAGCCAGAGUCCCGGAGUCCUGCCCGAGGCCCGGCAGAGGCCAGGACGGCGGGCAUCGCGACUUCACAGCCCCUUCCCGCCUCGAGCUGAGAGACACCCUCUCAGGGAAGGAUCUCCUGUCCCGUUUUACUUCAGGGACCGCUGGGAGGCUGCAGGGUCACUGGUGUGAGUGACAGGAAGACUCAGACGCUUGGCAAGGAUGCCCCGGCCUGGCCCAGUGUCGGAGAGCUCGGCCCUCAAUGGGCUCAGGCAGCAUUCUUGGGAUGCUUGUGCCCCAUUCAGCAGCGGCACUUCCAAUGCAAACACUCAGGGCCUCCCACACAAUGGUUCCCGCCAGCCUGGCCGGGCCAGCCAGACCCCUCCCCGCCUCCUCCCCACCACCAUUGUCCUUCCCUCUAGGGAGGGGCAGGGUGUGUGUGGAGGGGGACCAGGCCCCAGUCUGGGGGUGGCUGGGAAGGCUGGGAGAGGAUGAACGGACAUGCAAAUGAGAUACUGAAGAACCCGGCCAGGAUCCCCCGGAAAGGGGGCCCGAGGGAGGGGCUGGCUGUCUCCUCGCCCCGCCCCCAUCUCUGGGCUGAGUCACCAGCCACCGAGGGAACUUCCUUUGCUGGACAGGGCAGCCAGCUCCUUGGGCCUCCCCUCCCCGGCCCGGGAGGUGCCCCUCCUUGGAGUCUGGCCCUCUACACUACGCGUGACCCCGGUGUCGUAGUCCUGCGGGCCUACGUGGUCGGGGCCGAGCUCGGGGGCCAGUGUCUUCCUACCCCACCGCCCCCCCCCCCGCCUCCUCCCUCAGCAUCCGCAGACCUGGAGCAGGUGGCCCGGCUUUGACAAGACCCCAGCCCGCCUUCACCCCCCUCCCCGCUGCUGCCUGCUUCCCCCUGCCCUUGAGUUUCCAUCGGAAAUGCCUUCCAGUAGUUCAGAUCGCGGUGGGUCCCGGAUGGUGUCGAGGAGAGCUUCUCUCCAGCACGUCCGGGGCUCACAGCUCCUGAACCGGAGGCAGCCAGGAGGCCGGGCCCCGUGUGUCUGUGGAGCGCACGCCUCCCCGGCCGUCCUGGCUGUGCCCUCACACCUCUGGAGCCCGCUCUGUGCCCCACCGGGCCGGCCGCACGAAUGGCCCCGUCUUAAAACGUGGACGCCUUCCUUUGCCCGCGGAAUGUUCCGCUGUGUGGUUUGUACGGUCCGCUGAUGGGCACCUUGGGUUUUUUUCCGGCCAGCCCAGGACCACGAGUGGGCAGGAUGCCUCUCCGGAAGCGGGGCCGCUGGGUCAGACGUCGUAUUGGUAGCUCUGACAGACGGGGCCGAGCCUGGGUCCUCACGGCCCGCAGCCGUGCGUCACAAAGCCGUGGCCGGUCACACGGGCGAACCGGCGAUCGUCGCGAUCAUCGAGGCUUUGGGAGCGUGUCUGUCACCGACGGCUUUGUGGUUUUGCUGUUUACCUUGAAACCUGGCCCGUUUGGAAUUUAUUUUGUGAGACUACAGACCCAGCUUCGUUCUUUCCAGAUGGCUGUCUGCCUCCCCGGGCGUCGACAGUCCCGGCCACGGGGACUAGGUUCUGGUCGGUGAGAGGGGAGAGGAAGUGAGGGACAGCACUUUCGAAGAUUGCCCUGUGGCGGACGGCAUGCAUUCCUUUCUCCUUCCAGCUGCCUGGGACAUAGGGGUGAUGACUGGAGCUCCAGCAGCCCUGCUGGGCCACCGGGCAAACUUGGAAGGGAAACCACACAACAGGAGCGGGGGUGGAGAGAUGGAGGGGUCCUUGUGAGUCUGGGACACCGUGGAGUCCCCACAGCCCUGGGCUGCCUGCCUCACAAGACAGAGAGAUGAGCACCACACCAGAUUUGAGUGCCAGCAAAUCUGGUCCUUAGUCACACGUCCUUCUUUCGCCCCACAAUGUUCUUGGUUGUUUUUGCUUACUCAGUUUUCCACGUGAACCUUAGAAUUAGUUUGUUUAAUUUAGAAAUAAGUCCUGUUUGGGGAGCCUGAGUGGGUCAGUCGGUUAAGCGUCCGACUUCAGCUCAAGUCAUGAUCUUGCGGUUCGUGGGUUCGAGCCCCGCAUCGGGCUCUGUGCUGACC